GUGAGGAAUAUUGCGCAAUGGAGGCAACUCUGACGCAGCCAUGCCGCGUGCAGGAAGAAGGCGCUACGCGUUGUAAACUGCUUUUAACCGGGAAGAAACCCCAGGACGUGUCCUGGGUUGACGGUACCGGAGGAAUAAGCACCGGCUAACUUCGUGCCAGCAGCCGCGGUAAUACGAAGGGUGCACGCGUUAUCCGGACUCAUUGGGUUUAAAGGUUGCGUAGGCGGAGCGUUAAGUCAGUGGUGAAAUCCUGCAGCUUAACUGUAGACUUGCAAUUGAUACUGGCGCUCUUGAGUGCGCUUGAAGUGGGCGGAAUGUGCCGUGUAGCGGUGAAAUGCUUAGAUAUGGCACAGAACACCAAUUGCGAAGGCAGCUCACUAAGGCGAUACUGACGCUGAGGCACGAAAGCGUGGGGAUCGAACAGGAUUAGAAACCCUGGUAGUCC
RNAcentral lists this ribosomal RNA (445 nucleotides) under uncultured bacterium. RNAcentral describes it as "partial 16S ribosomal RNA". It matches the Rfam family "Bacterial small subunit ribosomal RNA", at positions 354 to 796 of the family's 1533-position model. The record is from RNAcentral.